RNAcentral lists this ribosomal RNA (440 nucleotides) under uncultured bacterium. RNAcentral describes it as "partial 16S ribosomal RNA". It matches the Rfam family "Bacterial small subunit ribosomal RNA", at positions 338 to 795 of the family's 1533-position model. The record is from RNAcentral.
CCUACGGGAGGCAGCAGUAGGGAAUAUUGCUCAAUGGGGGAAACCCUGAAGCAGCAACGCCGCGUGGAGGAUGAAGGUUUUCGGAUUGUAAACUCCUUUUGUUAGAGAAGAUAAUGACGGUAUCUAACGAAUAAGCACCGGCUAACUCCGUGCCAGCAGCCGCUGUCAUACGGAGGGUGCAAGCGUUACUCGGAAUCACUGGGCGUAAAGAGCGCGUAGGCGGGAUAGCAAGUCAGAUGUGAAAUCCUAUGGCUUAACCAUAGAACUGCAUUUGAAACUGUUAUUCUAGAGUAUGGGAGAGGUAGGUGGAAUUCUUGGUGUAGGGGUAAAAUCCGUAGAGAUCAAGAGGAAUACUCAUUGCGAAGGCGACCUGCUAGAACAUAACUGACGCUGAUGCGCGAAAGCGUGGGGAGCAAACAGGAUUAGAUACCCCGGUAGUC